AAAAUUUUCAUUCUAGCUUUUCAUUGAAUAUAGUAAGUUCCAUCAAACAGUGGAGGUCUGUUUAUGGAAAGUCCCUCGGCAAAUAAUAUGUUAUGUGGGGUUGUCAUAAUCUUUAGCUCUAGUCGGUUAAGACUAUAAUUAAUAGAAGAGCACCUGCUCUGAUACCACUUGUUGCCCAAGGUGACAACCCAAGAGAGGGGGGUGAAUUGGGUUUUCUAAAAAUUAUGUUCCCUAAUUUUUACUUUGAAUAGAAUGCAGCGGAAUGAUAAGAUGUUAUUUACUUAAGCUCUAGGCAAUUACAAGUAAAGCAGUGGAAAAUUAAGCUAGAGCAAUUAUACUAUGGCUUUAGGGUGCAAUUGAUCUAAAAUUAACUUAUAGUUGUAUGAUCAAUUUUAAUCUAUGUUUAUGGUAAGAAUGGAGUGGAAGCUAAACAAAUUCUAAACAAUCACUUAUAACUCUAUAGAAAACAAAGCUAGAGAUAUUACACAAUCAAGCAUGAAUGUAAGGCAUGAAAUAUAAGAGAUAAGGCAUCACAAACACAAAGAUGUAUAGUGGUUCGGUGCACCCCAGCACCUACAUCCACUCCCCAAGACCUCUUGGAAAUUUCACUAUAAUCCCUCAGAUUACAGUCGGUUGUUUUACAAGCUCACAAUCCAACUUGUUGUUUUGCGAGAUCACAACGAACUCGGUCGGUUUUCACAGGCUCACCGACUAGAACCAACCGAUUGUUUUCACGGGCUCACAAUCCAACCCAGUUGGUUUUUCCAAAGGCUCACCAACCACAACCUUACAACGAUUGUUUUCCG
This 806-nucleotide long non-coding RNA is filed under the name Phoenix dactylifera (date palm). Its description in RNAcentral is "long non-coding RNA (PDAC_LNC017498)". Lineage: Eukaryota; Viridiplantae; Streptophyta; Magnoliopsida; Arecales; Arecaceae. The record is from RNAcentral.